RNAcentral lists this long non-coding RNA (6670 nucleotides) under Homo sapiens (human). RNAcentral's name for it is "HSALNT0195469". Lineage: Eukaryota; Metazoa; Chordata; Mammalia; Primates; Hominidae. The record is from RNAcentral.
CCAGAACCUAGUCCCCUUUAGAUGGGACCUGAGCUUUUCAGUAGCCACGGGGACACCCACCCCUUUCUCUCAGAAUCUUUGCAUAUAGGGCCUGGGGAGUCUGCAUUUUAAUAAGCUCCCCUUGAUGCUCACAGGUGCAGCAAACCACUAUGGCACACGUUUACCUAUGUAACAAACCUGCACAUCCUGCACAUGUACCCCAGAACCUAAGAUAAAUUUAAAAUAAAAAGCUCCCUCAUGACCCUGGCCCUCUCUACAGUUGAGAACCACUGUCCCACCCCUCACAUGCUUGUUAGUUUCCUCAGUGUCAUCCGGCUAUAAGCCUUGGGUCCCAUCCUAGAUACAGCUUCAGGGUCUAGCAGAUACACGCUGAAAUUCUCACGCCAUCACUUGCUAGUGAGGUGACCUUGGUUAGUUUUUCCUGCCUCGGGACUCCCUGUCUCUUUGAAAUGGGGACAUGGAUGUGCCGGCUGUUCUCUCUGUGCCCCUCCCUGCCCCCCAUAACAACUCUCCACCCUUCUCACCUAACUCUGUGCUUUGGGGAGCUGACCUGCACAGACUUGAUCACCAGGUUCCCUCAGCCUCUGGCUUGCUUUUGGGAUUGGCCGACGGACUCACUGGUGAGAUUAGAGGGCAGAAGAGAAGCCUGGAAUAGCCUAUUUCCAUAGCUCCUUCCUGCUGGAUGUGGUUUUAGGUCACGCUCUCUUCCUCGCUGACCUCAGCUCCUGUUGGGGUGGCUCCUCUCCCAUGGUCCAAGAACAAUAUUUUCUUUGGCCAAGAGUGGUAACAGCUCCCCACUUUUACUGGCCCUCAGGAAUUUCAAUAUCUCUUGGUGGUUCCUUUAGCCCUGUCCACACCUGUGUUUAUUAAACUCUCCUUAAUUAAACCCUUUGAGUGUGCCAACUGUCUCCUGCUGGGACCCUGAAUUAUACAACAAUAUCCUAGAGGCUUCAGAGAGGUCAUAUACAUGGCCUGGCACUUAGUGAAUGUUCGAUACACUUGUAGCUAUUGCCCUCAUUAUUACUACUAAUAUUCUUGUCAUUACUGUUAUCCCAACGUAACUAGAAUCAUAGGCUCUUGUAGUCGGAAAGAACCAAGGAAAUCAUUUCCUGUCUGAUGUUAGAAGAAUAGCACCUGGCCUGUGUUGGUUGAGUGAAUAGAUGAAUUUCUUCAGUUGGGGAUGUCUCUCCUUUCAUGCCUCCUGUUACAUGGCACUCCUUAACGGACAAGGUAGCUUCCUGUGUUACGGGAUGGCUUUGUUAAUUCUACCAGGAAGCUCAGCAAACAUAGGGCAGGUUAUUGAGUGCUUUGCUGUCCUUGGCACCCAAGGCAAGAGACACAGGAUUAUGACCUGUGAAUCAAAGACAAACGCUCACCAAAAUAAUCAACCCUCCCAGGAGCCUUGUACAGCCCAGGAGGAAGAUGCGGAUCCUUAACUCAGUCUGCAACCAGAAUCUUGACAGUCCUGAAAAUGGAAAAGCGUCUGGAGUUUUGGGUACUCCCAAUGCCCCAAUUAUCCUUUUAUUACCCUGAUUUACAACAUAACUUCAUAGGAGACGUUCUGAUGAGCAAAAUGACUUGGGUAACAAAAUGAUCUGGCAAAACCAGCAACUAAGAAAGAAAAAGAAUGGAUUUUCCAGUCUCUUUGACCCCUGAGAUCUCAAAGCCCCUGUGAAGAUCGAUCAGUUGGCAUGGCUGGAUUCAGACUUCCCAGGCCAAGAGGACUUGAAGAAAUGAUCAGAUGAAUCUCAGAAACUCAGAGUUUGAAUAAUAGUUGUCGGUUAUUGCACACUUGCUGUGUGCCAGGCAUGGUGCUCACUGCUGCCCAUGGAUCAUUUCACCUAAUUUCAUCUACCAGCCUGAUAUCUGCACAUGUGAGAACCUGAGACGUAGGGAGUUUGCACGGCUUUAGCUUUCGCAGAAGGAGUAACACAGGGUCAUACCAACUUACUCCAGUUACCAAUUCUGUGACCUCAGGCAAGGACACAAGAAGAUGGCUGUCUACAAGCCAGGAAAAGAUUCUGCACCAGGAACUGGAUCAACUGGCACCUUGAUCUUGGACUUCCCAGCCUCCAGAACUAUGAGAUGAGAAAUAAGUGUCUAUUGUUUAAGCCUCCCAGUCUAUGGUAUUUUGUUAUAGCAACCCAAGAUGACAAAGACAACAAGCCUAAAAUGAAAAAUGGCAAAGUAACCAAGAUGUCCUUCAAGAGGGCUGUUUGUUGUCCAAAAAGCCUUUUUCCCUAAGCUUGAAAGCUUAACUUCUCAGAAGCAGGAAGCUGCCUUUUGCCAAGAGUAAAUGGGUGAGAAGUCCAAAGGUCUUGGUUUUGAAGUAUGUGCAACGAAUGUUCAAACAGGUUCUGAACAGAGCCAAAUCUACUUUUCUAUCUCCAAGAAAUCUCGAGAGAGCCAUGGGGCGGAAGUUUCAAGGAACAACGUCUCGUCCCAAACCGCAUGAAAUUGCAUUCCAAUCAGAAGCAUGGCCAAACCCACCAGAACGCAAAACGCAGGGAUGGAAGGACACUGACGACGAUGACCUUGUGAAAUGAGAGAAUUGUCUUGAAAGGGAGCGUUGUUACGGAAGAUGCUGAUUUCGGCAUUCCCUGUCUGAAGUGCUAACUAACCUCAUUGGGUUUUUGCUCUGCACCAGGUACUGAUAUCUAUACUUUUCCUGUGUAUUCACUUACUUGAUACCUGAUGGAGGAGGUAUUUUUCAGAGGAGAAAACUGAGUCAUGGACAAAGUCAGUGACGUGCCCGAGAUCGUUCAUCUAAGAUGUUGCAGAGCUGGGACUUGAACCUAGUUUGUCUGCCUCUGGGAUCUGAGCUGGUAAACAUCACAUGGCACUUUGUGGCUCGUUUGUGACUGGUCCGUCCAUUGGUGGAAAAUGGUUAGAAGUCCUACUCUGUGCCCCUCUGUGUGCCAGUACUUGGAGAUACUUCCUCCAGAUACUUCCCCAUGAAACUUAAUCUGGUGGUGGAAGACAAACAUAAAACAAAUAAUUGAUUUGAGCUCUGAGAAGUGCCACAAAGGCAACGCACAGGUAUAAUGAUGGGGGAGGGAGGGGUGGCACUUGGUCUGGGAAGUAGGGGAAAACUGUCUCUGUAAGGGACAUUUUAUCUCAGACCGGAAGACUGUUGUUAUGGGUUCAAUUCCAUCCUCUUCUCCCCAGCAUUCAUUUGUCAAAGUCCUAGCCCCUAGACCUCAGAAUGUGACCUUAUUUGGAAAUAGUGUUGUUGCUGAUGUAAUUAGUUAAGAUGAGGUUAGAGUAGAGUAGGAUGGGCCCCUGCUAUAAUAUGACUGGUAUCUUUAUAAAAAGGGGAAAUUUAGAGACAGACACACACACACAGGGAGAAGGACAUGAGAACAGGAGGCAGAGAUGAGGCUGGUAUUUCCACAAGCCAAGGAGUGCCAAAAACUGCCAGCAAAUCACCUUCAAAAGGAGCAUGACAUCUUGAUCUUGGACUUUCACAUUCCAGAACUGUGUUUUUAUCCACUCCCAUUGUGGUACCUUGUCAUGGCAGCCCUAGCAAACGAAUGCAGAGGGGAAGGUGCCAGUCAGGUGAGGAGGGAGUGGAGAGUAGGAGAGAGGGAAAAAGAAACAAAACCCAGGAAGAAGAGCUAGCAUGUGCAAAAUCCCCAACGGAGGAAGGAGCGUGACACAUUUGGGAAGGUGGAACCAGGGAGAGGGGAGGGUGGAAGAUGAAGCAGGUGGAACCAGAUUCUGGCGUCUCUAAUACACAACGUGGCAUUUCUAUGAAGGACGAUGUGAAACCAGUGAAGGGUUUUAACCAAGGGGCAACCAUAAUUGGAUCUGAAUUUUAAUAUCAUUGUUCUGUUGCUGUGUGGAAACUGAAUUUUGGGGGUGGUAGGAAAGAAUAAAUGUAGAACAGUUUAGAACCUAUUGUGUUUGUGCCCAGGAGUUUCAGCCGAAUUCUUCAGAUUGGUUAUUCUUCCAAACAGGCCAUUUUCCUCAAGCCAUUUCCCUACUCAGUACUCAGACACAUUCAUUGUUUACAGUGUACCAGGCUCUGAAACUGUGCUAUCCAAUAUGGUAGCCACUGGCCACGUGUGGCUCAUUUAAAUUAAAAUUAAAGACCAGUUGCUCUGUCUCACUGAGACGUGCCUAUGUGCUCCCUAGCCACAUCAUUCACUGAAAGUUCUGUUAGACAGCUCUGGUCUAGGGAAACACAGAGGAACAGGGCAUCAUCCCGUCCUUGUUUUUAGAGCAGUGAAAGAACUCGAGACAACUGGAUUUCGUAGACCAGCAAGAACUUUUUUUGUUUUUAAGUAUACUUUAAGUUUUAGGGUACAUGUGCACAAUGUGCAGGUUUGUUACAUAUGUAUACAUGUGCCAUGUUGGUGUGCUGCACCCAUUAACUCGUCAUUUACAUUAGGUACAUCUCCUAAUGCUACCCCUCCCCCGUCCCCCCACCCCACAACAGGCCCCGGUGUGUGAUGUUCCCCUUCCUGUGUCCAUGUGUUCUCAUUGUUCAAUUCCCACCUAUGAGUGAGAACAUGCGGUGUUUGGUUUUUUGUCCUAGACCAGCAAGAACUUUUAUAAAUACACUGAGAAAAUGAAAAGGCAAUUCACAGAGCUGGAAAAAUAUCUGCACUGCCUAUGACUGGUACGGGGUUCUGUGAAUAAUAUUUUAAGAUCUCCCAAAAUCAGAAAAUGAGAGAACAGUUCAGUAGAAAAAUGCAAGAGACUUGAACAGGGAUUUUCCAAAGGGGAACAUCUGAAUGGUUAAUAAAUAGAUGAAAAGGUACUCAAUCCUAUCAGGAGUCAGAGAAAUGCCCAUUAAAGCUGCAAUAAGAUGCUACCCACACACACCAGAAUGGCUUAGAUGGAAAAGACGAACAAUAUCAGACUAAGGACAUGCACCAGAGUUUCUAGGAUUAAAAGACUAUCCAUACUAAGUGUUGGCAAGGAUGUGGAGUGACUCAAACUCUCACAAGUGUUGGUGAGAGUGUAAUUGGCACAACCUCUUUGGAAAGCAGUUUGGUGUUCUCCACUAAAGACAGGGCGGCUUUAUGAUUUAUUGUCCAAACAAGCUCAUUUUCAGGAAUGAAAGGGGGAAGUGUUCACUGAUUCCAUAGGCAUUGAUUGGGAGAGUCCUUGAACAUACAAUUAACCUAAUCAAAAUAGAUAUUCAUGUGUGUGAUCCAGCAAAUCCACACCUAGGUGUGUAUGUGCAUGUAUAUAUCCAACAGAAAUGUGUGCACAAGUGACAAAAUGUUCUCAGUGGCACUUUUGUAGCAGCUCCAAACUGGCAGCAACCAGAAUGCCCUUCAUGCAGUGCAAUACCGUGCAUCAUCAAAAAUGAAUUGAUCUGUGUGAAAUACGACAACAGGGAGGAAUGUUAGAAAUAUAUUGGGGCCAGGUACAGCGGCUCAUGCCUGUAAUUCCAGCACUGUGGGAGGCCGAGGUGGGCAGAUCGCUUGAGGCCAGGAGUUCGAGACUAGCCUGGGCAACAUGGAAAAACCCUGUCUCUACAAAAAAUACAAAAAUUAGCCACGUGUGGUGGCAUGCAUCUGUGGGCCCAGCUACUUAGGAGUCUGAGGUGGGAGGAUCACCUGAGCCUGGGAGGCAGAGGGUGCAAUGAGCCAAAAUCACAUCACUGCACUCCAGCCUGGGCAAUGGAGUGAGAUCCUGUCGAAAGAAAGAACGAAAGAAAGAAUGAACGAAGGAACGAAAGGAAGGAAGGAAGGAAGAAAGGAAGGAAGGAAGGAAAGGGGAAAGAAAGAAAAAAAAGAAAAGAAAAAUGUUGGACAGAAACACCCAUGUAUGAAAGAGUAUAUCACUUACAAUCCAUUUGGAAUAGAAAACUAAAGGCAGGACUUUGUGUUGGAAAUCAGGGUGGUGUUUUCCUUUGGGGAGGGGGAAGGGGAUGAUGAGAAGUGCUAGCAGAGGGGCUUCUGAGGUGCUGGCAGUAUUUUAUUUUUUGACCUAAAUUGUGGUUACACAGGUAUUCAUUUUGUGAUAGUUCAGCUGUACAGCUAUAUUUUGUGCUCUUUUCUGUAUAUGUGCUAUAUUUCACAAGUAAAAAUCAAUGCAAAGCUAUUAUCUGGGCUUGUCAUAGAGUUGUCAGGUUUUUAUUUCACCUAAUAAGUACAUCUAAUAGAAUAAUGGCUACCUUCCUUUAAAUUCAUCACUUCAUAGGAGAUAAAAAAUUCAACAUCAAAGCAGAAGGGAUAUAAUUUUAAAAUUAAGAACAGAGCUAUAAAAUAAAUUUCUCAUUUUGAAAAACUGACUAGACUGAUGAUGUAACUUUGAUCAUUUCACAGGGAGCCAGUGGAAACGUUUCCACAGACCCAUUUUUGGAAACCUUUGGUUUAGUGGGGUCCCAUCAUCAGUUAUACAAGGCUGCCAAAGUCUCUUCUUUGAAACUAAAGAGGUCUUUUAAAAUAAGCUAGGGAAGUGCAGCGAUUAAACAAGGUCUAGUAGGUUUCCUUGCUGCAGGACUUAUCAGAGCCUUUACCAUACAAAGAUGCACUGUGACUCUCUAGGAGAUGGAUAAAUAAUGGGGCAUUUCCCAACCUCAUUUGCUAACAGAACCAUGUUUCUGUUGAACCAUUUCUAGGGACACGUGGCCAAAGGGACAUACUUUGGGGACCCUAAGCCUAUAGCAGGGGUCAGCAAGCCAAGGUCUAUAGUCUGGAUGCCUGUUUUU